GAUGAACGCUGGCGGCGUGCUUAACACAUGCAAGUCGAACGGAAAGGCCAGUGCUUGCCCUGGUGCUCGAGUGGCGAACGGGUGAGUAACACGUGGGUGAUCUGCCCUGCACUUUGGGAUAAGCCUGGGAAACUGGGUCCAAUACCAGAUAGGACCAUGCUUUGGAUGGUGUGGUGGAAAGUUUUUUCGGUGUGGGAUGAGCUUGCGGCCUAUCAGCUUGUUGGUGGGGUAAUGGUCUACCAAGGCGUCGACGGGUAGCCGGCCUGAGAGGGUGUACGGCCACAUUGGGACUGAGAUACGGCCCAGACUCCUACGGGAGGCAGCAGUGGGGAAUAUUGCACAAUGGGCGCAAGCCUGAUGCAGCGACGCCGCGUGGGGGAUGACGGCCUUCGGGUUGUAAACUCCUUUCGCAACUGACGAAGCUUUUUGUGACGGUAGGUUGAGAAGAAGCACCGGCUAACUACGUG
This 467-nucleotide ribosomal RNA is filed under the name uncultured bacterium. RNAcentral's name for it is "partial 16S ribosomal RNA". It matches the Rfam family "Bacterial small subunit ribosomal RNA", at positions 28 to 507 of the family's 1533-position model. The record is from RNAcentral.